This is a ribosomal RNA of Mesocricetus auratus (golden hamster), 123 nucleotides long. The record is from Ensembl. NCBI's taxonomy places the organism in Eukaryota, Metazoa, Chordata, Mammalia, Rodentia, Cricetidae.
GUCUAUGGCCAUACCACCCUGAACGCGCCCGAUCUCGUCUGAUCUCGGAAGCUAAGCUAAGCAGGGUCGGGCCUGGUUAGUACUUGGAAAGGAGACAAAUGAGCGGUCUGCCAGCAGGAGGCC